This 776-nucleotide ribosomal RNA is filed under the name uncultured Neocallimastigales. RNAcentral's name for it is "partial large subunit ribosomal RNA". It matches the Rfam family "Eukaryotic large subunit ribosomal RNA", at positions 18 to 643 of the family's 3401-position model. The record is from RNAcentral. Lineage: Eukaryota; Fungi; Neocallimastigomycota; Neocallimastigomycetes; Neocallimastigales.
UCAGACGAUGCGUCAUGCAUAUCAAUAAGCGGAGGAAAAGAAACUAACAAGGAUUCCCCUAGUAACGGCGAGUGAAGCGGGAAGAGCUCAAAUUUGAAAUCUUAAAGGGUUUCCCUUUACGAAUUGUAGUUUAAAGAAGUGGUUUUCUGUUGAGGUUUUGGUAAAAGUUCUUUGGAAUAGGACAUCAUAGAGGGUGAGAAUCCCGUAUUUGACCUUUACUUUCAACUUUGUGAUACACUUUCAAAGAGUCGGAUUGUUUGGGAAUGCAGUCCAAAAUGGGUGGUAAAUUUCAUCUAAAGCUAAAUAUUGGCGAGAGACCGAUAGCGAACAAGUACCGUGAGGGAAAGAUGAAAAGAACUUUGAAAAGAGAGUUAAACAGUACGUGAAAUUGUCAAAAGGGAAGCGUUUGACACCAGUGUUGUUUUUCUGAAAAUCAAUUAAAGAACUGUUUAUGCUAAGCUGUUUAGACUUUAUCAGCUAAUCUGUUUAGUUUUGAGCUUUUCUUUAAUGCACUUUUCAGUUAACAAGUCAACAUCAAUUUCUUUUGCUGUAAAAAAGCUUGAGGAAGGUGGCUUGAGAUUCGUCUUAAGUGUUUAUAGCCUCUUGCCUAUGCAGUCGGAGAGAUUGAGGUCUGCAGCGUAGAUCCUUCGGGGCUAAAUGCAUUUGUGCUAAGUUAUAGCAUUUUAUAGACAACUUGUUGACUAUGAUUUGUCUUGUAGCUUACUCGCUUAUGUUAUUUUACCUACGCUUAGGAUGUUGACACACGCGCGUGCUCG